GGGGCUGAUUCUGGAUUCGACGGGAUUCGCGAAACCCAAGGUGCAUGCCGAGGUGCGGUGGCCUCGUAAAAACCGCAAAAAAUAGUUGCAAACGACGAAAACUACGCACUAGCAGCUUAAUAACCUGCUUAGAGCCCUCUCUCCCUAGCCUCCGCUCUUAGGACGGGGAUCAAGAGAGGUCAAACCUAAAAGAGCUCGUGUGGAAACCUUGCCUGGGGUGGAAGCAUUAAAACUAAUCAGGAUAGUUUGUCAGUAGCGUGUCCAUCCGCAGCUGGCCGGCGAAUGUAAUGAUUGGACUAAGCAUGUAGUGCCGACGGUGUAGUAAUUUCGGACGGGGGUUCAAAUCCCCCCAGCUCCACCA
RNAcentral lists this transfer-messenger RNA (361 nucleotides) under Yersinia pestis. Its description in RNAcentral is "Standard tmRNA". It matches the Rfam family "transfer-messenger RNA". From Rfam's summary of the family: Bacterial tmRNA, also known as 10Sa RNA or SsrA, is named for its dual tRNA and mRNA-like properties. Its role is to liberate the mRNA from a stalled ribosome. The record is from RNAcentral. Lineage: Bacteria; Pseudomonadati; Pseudomonadota; Gammaproteobacteria; Enterobacterales; Yersiniaceae.